Molecule: long non-coding RNA, 900 nt
Filed under: Populus trichocarpa (black cottonwood)
Lineage: Eukaryota; Viridiplantae; Streptophyta; Magnoliopsida; Malpighiales; Salicaceae
Description: long non-coding RNA (PTRI_LNC000326)
Source: RNAcentral
GGGACUAGCUCGGGCUAUUUUAAUGGCCGUCCUUCACGGUGCCAUAUAUGCAAAAACUUGCAUCCUAUUUCUUGCAAAAUGCCCUGUAAUUUACACUUGUGAGCGGCUUAUCGUUGUUUCAAGCACAUGACAAGGCAUCCAUAGUUCUGACAAACAUGUCUCCUCCUUUUUCUUGGUCCCUAACCCUGAGAUCAGAACGAUGAAACAACCUUAGCUGACAUCUAUCUCCUUUUUUGGAUAUCGAAACUGGGAAACUGCCAUAUGCACAAAUAUCAUGAAAAAUGCAAAACUCGUGAGAGGUUGGAGAACCUCUAGGAUGACGUGGCUCUUUGCAUGGUUAGAUUGACGUGGCAAGUAUUGGAGGAUGGUGGCUAGAUUCGCUGAUGCACUCACACAACAAGCUCCCGGCCCUGAUGGGAUCGAGAUCCUUGGAUAGCCAAGUUAGAAAAAAGAAAAAAAAAGUACAAGAAAGAUAGUACUGUAGUUAUUGAAAGAGAUGACAUACCAGAGAAGAGGAUGUACAAGGAUUGAGAGAUGAGAGAUUGGGAAUACCCCUCCCUGCCUCAAGGCUAGCUCAUAUAGUCUCUGGAGCCCUGCUAAAUAGCUUGGAAAGGAGGGUAUAGAUGUAAAUCCCCUUGCCACUUGUGAUCUCAAAGCAUGAUGAACAGGAGAUGAAUAUCUAGAAUAUUCGAUGAGAUAUUGUUAAGCCUAGCUAGCUAGAGGGUGAUAUCGUGAACUUGGCAGAAGCAGUCCAGAGAACGGGUGUCUGCAUUCGAUGUAUGAAAGCUCUUGUAUGCCUACUCUCUCUCAGAAGGUAUUGUAUAGGAUCAAUAGGAGAGUACUAGUCCGUGCCUGAACGAAGGCAACGUGUUGUCUUUUUCUCAGACAAGUGUAAGUGGC